UCUACUGCACUCAUUUAAGGGACCUCCCAC
Molecule: small RNA, 30 nt
Filed under: Bombyx mori (domestic silkworm)
Lineage: Eukaryota; Metazoa; Arthropoda; Insecta; Lepidoptera; Bombycidae
Description: ovarian small RNA-29469
Source: RNAcentral